Molecule: non-coding RNA, 463 nt
Organism: Chelonoidis abingdonii (Abingdon island giant tortoise)
Lineage: Eukaryota; Metazoa; Chordata; Testudines; Testudinidae
Source: RefSeq, a predicted model, not a curated record
UCUCUAGAACCUCAGCAGGAGAUCAUUUUAAAAGAAAAGGUGAAAGGAGAAGACAGGUCCUAAUGUAUUUCUCCCUUCAUCUCUACUCAUGAUAUUAAUAAUACCUGAAGGACAAGGAAAUUAACAGUGAACUAGGUGAUAGAUCCUGGCUGAAAGAAUUCUAGCCAGUAAGACUGCUAAAGCAUGUGUUUAUUAUGGGAUUGGCUACAAGGAUUGUCUUUGGUGGGAGAUCUAAGGCGCAAUUGACCUGGGAGCACCUUUCUUCUGAGGAUCCCAGAAUGCUUGGCACAUGUUCAGGAAGCCUUGCUGUGUCCCCAGGAAGAAGCUAAUAUUUCCAUGUGACAGAUGGGGAACCUGAAGCACAAACUGGGGAAAUACUUUGUCCAAGAUUUCAUGAACCUUGAGUUCUCGGCUGCCCGUGUUAUCACCAGCUUCAAAGACUCCAAAACCUCUGGAAAAGCCG